UAGGGAAUCUUCCGCAAUGGGCGAAAGCCUGACGGAGCAACGCCGCGUGAGUGAUGAAGGUCUUCGGAUCGUAAAACUCUGUUAUUAGGGAAGAACAAAUGUGUAAGUAACUAUGCACGUCUUGACGGUACCUAAUCAGAAAGCCACGGCUAACUACGUGCCAGCAGCCGCGGUAAUACGUAGGUGGCAAGCGUUAUCCGGAAUUAUUGGGCGUAAAGCUCGCGUAGGCGGUUUUUUAAGUCUGAUGUGAAAGCCCACGGCUCAACCGUGGAGGGUCAUUGGAAACUGGAAAACUUGAGUGCAGAAGAGGAAAGUGGAAUUCAAUGUGUAGCGGUGAAAUGCGCAGAGAUGUGGAGGAACACCAGUGGCGAAGGCGACUUUCUGGUCUGUAUCUGACGCUGAUGUGCGAAAGCGUGGGGAUCAAACGGG
RNAcentral lists this ribosomal RNA (429 nucleotides) under Actinomycetes bacterium. RNAcentral describes it as "Actinobacteria bacterium partial 16S ribosomal RNA". It matches the Rfam family "Bacterial small subunit ribosomal RNA", at positions 355 to 776 of the family's 1533-position model. Lineage: Bacteria; Bacillati; Actinomycetota; Actinomycetes. The record is from RNAcentral.